RNAcentral lists this ribosomal RNA (253 nucleotides) under uncultured bacterium. RNAcentral's name for it is "partial 16S ribosomal RNA". It matches the Rfam family "Bacterial small subunit ribosomal RNA", at positions 524 to 776 of the family's 1533-position model. The record is from RNAcentral.
UACGUAGGGACCAAGCGUUGUUCGGAUUUACUGGGCGUAAAGGGCGCGUAGGCGGCCGCCUAAGUCAGACGUGAAAUCCCUCGGCUCAACCGGGGAACUGCGUCUGAUACUGGGUGGCUUGAGUUUGGGAGAGGGAUGCGGAAUUCCAGGUGUAGCGGUGAAAUGCGUAGAUAUCUGGAGGAACACCGGUGGCGAAGGCGGCAUCCUGGACCAACACUGACACUGAGGAGCGAAAGCCAGGGGAGCAAACGGG